Long non-coding RNA from Heterocephalus glaber (naked mole-rat), 2331 nucleotides. NCBI's taxonomy places the organism in Eukaryota, Metazoa, Chordata, Mammalia, Rodentia, Bathyergidae. The record is from Ensembl.
CUGAAAGAUGAUUUUCAAGAGACUCAAUGCAUUGUGCUUUCAGAUAAAAAUUCUAAAACAAAUGAUCAGUUGCUAUGACAGUAACAGUUAAAACUGCAUGUAUAUAUAUAUAUGUUUGAGAUCAGAAGAAGCUAUACAAAAUAUAAAUAGUUGUGCUUAGGGGAAUUUUUGGUAAGGUUAUUUUAAUAAAUAAAAACUUAAAAUGUCUCAGUGACGGAUACAAAGUAGAUAUUACGUUAUCAAGGGUUUCCUAUACUUGGCUUAGAAUUUGAAAGGAAAAAUCAUUCUCACACAAACCACCUGGUAUCUGAUAAUCUCAACUAGGACAAGUGACUUACAGUUGGGCAGGCAAGGCGCUUGGGAGAAAAGAUAAAGUGAUCCUCCCAUUAACAUACAGCAUUAAUCAGAGGUAAAGCCCACCUGGACCAACUAACUAAACAAAUGCUAGCCUUCCUUUAGAACUCUUAGACCAAAUAGAGAGGUCAACCUAUUUCCUAUGCUUGGUGUCUGGACCACAACCCAUUCUGUAGUUCACAAAAUGAAUUAAACAUCACCUAUCUUCUGUGAGACCCUAGGAUAAGCACAAUCCCUUAUCUGAAUGAGAAAGAAAGCAGAGCUGAGCUGAAAGGCAAAAGGGAAACCAUGAGAUCAAGCCUGGCCAAAUUCAGUCUUCUAGUUUCACUUGCUCUUAGUUGAUUUAGAGAUCGCUAAUUUUGGAGAUCACACAGCUGGACAAUGUAUUAUUAGUUUCCCACUAGCUUUGCUGUAGAUAGCCUUUCUGACACAUGGAUUAUUGUAGCAGACAUCCUUGUCCAGUACUUGCGGGCUAUGAGUGGCACCUGCUUCUUGCUUUCCAUAAUUCGGCUAUAUUGUUUUAAAUCAGGAGUCAGAGUGAAGCUCUCCAUGACUCAAAUGGGCACAUCAGCUGGCAGACUGGGAAAGUAUAGCCCCUCCCUUAAUAGCUGCCGCGAAAACCUAGGCCCUGGUCUGUAAAGUGGCAGGGCUCUGCUGAGUUACGUGCAGCUGAAGUCAGUGUGAUCCCAAUGAAAACCCUUUCCCCUGAAUUACGGCAUCUCACCGACCCAAUGAGUUGCUUGCUAAUUGCACCUGGUCCCAGUACCAGUUUGUUCUAUCCGAGCAAGAUAAGCAGUGCUUACUCCCUAACAGCCCUGGCUGGUGUCAUCAUGCCAGGUGUCUGGCAAUAUUUCACUAGAUGCCUUCAAAGCAUACCUGGCUCCCUAUACUUUCCCAAGAUUGUAUUCACUAAAUACUGGAUGCACUUAGGGGCCUUUGUCUUUGCUGCCAUCAGCAGCACUGACCAGGACUCAAGACAUCUUUUCCAAUCUAAGUCUCAUUUCUGUCUCAUUUCUUGAAUUUGCCUUGUGCUGUGGUGGCUCGCAGGCCAGGACCCACAGCAGAAGUCCUGGUAAUGUCCCCUUCCCUGUUCCCUACAGAUUAUGAUGACAGCUGUUUAUGUUACUUCUCAGGGACCUGAAGGCUACUUUUGCUAAAAACACUGACUCUUCCCUUGGGCCUGCAGAUGUCUAACAGAUGACUGGAAUGUUAUGGAAAGGCUUGGCAUCUCUUCAUAUUGUGUCGGUCUCCUCUGCUGCCGUAAUCUUUGGGUCAGAUUCCUCUCAGCUCUGGAAGUACACAUGUUGAUUGCCUGUUGGAAUUGUGUUAAAAGGUCCAGUUUCUGGUAGCACUUUCAUUCAGCAUAAUGUGGUCAAACAUCUUCAGGCACCUACUUACAUAUCCCGUAUAGUGCCUCACUGAAGCUCUCCUCACUGCCCCUGCUUGGGGAAGGUAUAAAAAGGGUUGGCAGAAGAGUUUGGCAGCCCUGGUCUCAGAGCAGACUCCAGGGUCCUUUCAGGAUAUAAAAAGCCUGAGAGUUCCUGCAUGGACACCAGCACCAUGGUCAACAAAGGGGAUGUCUGUGUGAAAGCUGCCGUGGGCCACUGCACAGCUCCACAAAGACCACAACAUCCUCUGGGAGUUAUGAGCCCCAGUCUUUGGGUCUCAAGAUAGAAAAUGCCUCUCCUUUGGUGAAGGGUCCCAGGUCUCAGCAUUUACCUCUUUCCCCAACAUCUUCCACACACAAUUGGUCCCUUCCUCUUUUGGGCUCUGGUGGUUCUUCCACUUUGUGGUUUGUUGGGAGCAAUGCUACAUAAUUUUAGGGAAAAAUCAUUUGGCUAGGCCUAGUUCUCCUGCCUACAGCCCAGUUAUGGCAUUCUGAGACAUAAUUCCAUUUUGGCCUCCGGUCACAACUGAGACCUCAAUGAUCCCAUGAUGCUGAUUCUCCACGACAAGAUUACACCAGCUGAAGACAUC